AACUUUUGGCAAUGGAUCACUUGGUUCCGGCAUCGAUGAAGAACGCAGCGAAUUGCGAAACGUAGUGUGAAUUGCAGAAUUCAGCGAACCAUCGAAUCUUUGAACGCACAUUGCGCCCGCCGGUAUCCCGGCGGGCAUGCCUGUCCGAGCGUCGUUUAACCGCCCAGGCUACGUCUGGUGUUAGGGAUCCGUGGAUUUUCCGCGGACUCUGGAAGCAAGCGGCGGCUCGCAUGCAGACAGAGCGAAGUACUAUAGCGAGCUAAGCUGCCUAUAUCAUCUUCUCUCCAAGCCCUCUGGGCUGGGAAUUUUGGGGAUCGCUCAGGGUCUUGUAGGCGAGUGUUCUGCCGGUUAAGCUAGACAAUGUUCUAAAGAAUCAGCUCGACCUCGGAUCAGGUAGGAAUACACGCUGAACUUAAGCAUAUCAAUAAGCGGAGGCU
RNAcentral lists this unclassified non-coding RNA (437 nucleotides) under uncultured Ascomycota. Its description in RNAcentral is "sequence contains ITS2". The stretch from base 1 to 154 matches the Rfam family "5.8S ribosomal RNA". The record is from RNAcentral. Lineage: Eukaryota; Fungi; Ascomycota.